This 2254-nucleotide long non-coding RNA is filed under the name Calidris pugnax (ruff). RNAcentral describes it as "lncRNA (ENSCPUG00000016592.1)". The record is from RNAcentral. Lineage: Eukaryota; Metazoa; Chordata; Aves; Charadriiformes; Scolopacidae.
GGAGGUGGUUGCAGGGGGGCAUGGGCGUUGCAGGGGAGGUGGGGCCUUGCAGGGGAGAUGGACAUUACAGGGAGAUGGUUUCUCGUGGAGGAGAUGGUCGGUGCAGGGGAGAUGGUUGUUGCAGGAGAUAUGGUUUUUUGCACAGGAGAUGGUUUCUCAUGGAGGAGAUGGUCAUUGAAGGGGAGAUGGUGGUUGCAGGGGAGAUGGUUUCUCAUGGAGGAGAUGGUCAGUGCAGGGGAGAUGCUGUUGCAGGGAAGGUGAUUUCUCAUGGAGGAGAUGGUCAUUGCAGGGGAGAUGGUCGUUGCAGGAGAUGUGGUUUCUUGUGGGGGAGAUGGUGGUUGCAGGGGAGAUGGUUUCUCAUGGAGGAGAUGGUCAUUGCAGGGGAGAUGGUUGUUGCAGGAGAUGUGGUUUCUUGUGGGGGAGAUGGUUUCUCAUGGAGGAGAUGGUCAUUGCAGGGGAGAUGGUUGUUGCAGGAGAUAUGGUUUCUUGCACGGGAGAUGGUUUCUCAUGGAGGAGAUGGUCGUUGCAGGGGAGAUGGUUGUUGCAGAAGAUACGGUUUCUUGUACAGGAGAUGGUUUCUUGUGGAGGAGAUGGUCGGUGCAGGGAAGAUGGUUGUUGCAGGAGAUGUGGUUUCUUGUGGGGGAGAUGGUGGUUGCAGGGGAGAUGGUUUCUCGUGGAGGAGAUGGUCAUUGCAGGGGAGAUGGUUGUUGCAGGAGAUACGGUUUCUUGCACGGGAGAUGGUUUCUCAUGGAGGAGAUGGUCAUUGCAGGGAAGAUGGUUGUUGCAGGAGAUAUGGUUUCUUGCACGGGAGAUGGUUUCUCAUGGAGGAGAUGGUCGUUGCAGGGGAGGUGGUUGUUGCAGGAGAUACGGUUUCUUGUGGGGGAGAUGGUGAUUGCAGGGGAGAUGGUUUUUUGUGGAGGAGAUGGUCGGUGCAGGGGAGAUGGUUGUUGCAGGAGAUACGGUUUCUUGUGGGGGCGAUGGUGGUUGCAAGGGAGAUGGUUUCUCGUGGAGGAGAUGGUCGGUGCAGGGGAGAUGGCUGUUGCAGAGGAGAUGAUUGUUGCAGGAGAUAUAUGGUUUCUUGCAGGGAAGAUCCCCUUGCAAGGGAGAUGGUCAUUGUAGGGCUGAUGGUCGUUGCAGGAGAGAUGGUUUCCUGCAGGGGAGAUAGUUGUUGCGGGGAGAUGGUUGUUGCAUUGGAGAUGGUUGUUGCAGGGGAGAUGGUUUCUCAUGGAGGAGAUGGUCAGUGCAGGGAGAUGGUCCUUGCAGGGGAGAUGAUUGUUGCAGGGGAGAUGGUCAUUGUAGGGGAGAUGGUUGUUGUAGGGGAGGUGGUUGUUGCAGGGGAGGUGGUUGUUGUAGGGGAGAUGGUUGUUGCAGGGGAGAUGGUUUCUCAUGGAGGAGAUGGUCAGUGCAGGGAGAUGGUCCUUGCAGGGGAGAUGAUUGUUGCAGGGGAGAUGGUCGUUGUAGGGGAGGUGGUUGCUGCAUUGGAGAUGGUUGUUGCAGGGGAGGUGGUUGUUGCAGGGGAGAUGGUUGUUGUAGGGAAGGUGGUUUCUCAUGGAGGAGAUGGUCGGUGCAGGGAGAUGGUCAUUGCAGGGGCAAUGACUGUUGCAGAGGAGAUGGUUUCAUGAGGGAAUGGGACCCUGCCCGGGCAUCCCCUGCCCACUGCGAGGGCACCGUGACACGGUGCAGGGCUGAGGGCUGAACCCAUAAAGGGUCCCACCAGCUCUGGGACCACCAGGCCUGGAGGGUGCCACCAGCCAGGCUGGGGACAGCGCUCCUGGGGCCAGGCUGGAGAGAAACAGUGUCCCCUGACUCAGCCCCGUCCCCAGCAGCGUGGGAUGUCCCCUGGGCUCCCCAGAGGAGCAGGAAUUUUGGGAACCGGGCGGGCGAUGAGUUUCCCACCCUGCCCUGAGUGGUUGAGGGGGGGGGAUGCCAAGACCCACAGGCACCCCCUGCUUAUCUCCCAGUGCUCCCACAGCCCCCCAGUGCCCGAGCCUGCCCUGGGGGAGGUGGCACCCCGGGGUGCUUUUGGGGAGAUGGUUCCCAGCCCCAGCUCUCCCUUGAGGCCACAUCUCCCGGGUUCUCCAGGCCCCAGCCAAGCCCUUCCCGGCAGCACCACCUCCUCCCACCACAUCCCGGCACCGCGCUCCGGGGGGGGGACGUGUCCCCCCACCAGCUCCAUCCUUGGUUGGGGGGGGGGGGGGGGACCCCCCAAAAAACCCCUCUUUUCUGGAANNNNNNNNNNNNNNNNNNNNNNNNN